CCUACGGGCGGCAGCAGUGGGGAAUAUUGGACAAUGGGGGGAACCCUGAUCCAGCCAUGCCGCGUGUGUGAAGAAGGCCCUCGGGUUGUAAAGCACUUUCAGUGAGGAAGAACGCCUGGUGGUUAAUACCCAUCAGGAAAGACAUCACUCACAGAAGAAGCACCGGCUAACUCCGUGCCAGCAGCCGCGGUAAUACGGAGGGUGCGAGCGUUAAUCGGAAUUACUGGGCGUAAAGCGCGCGUAGGUGGCUUGAUAAGCCGGUUGUGAAAGCCCCGGGCUCAACCUGGGAACGGCAUCCGGAACUGUCAAGCUAGAGUGCCGGAGAGGAGGGUAGAAUUCCCGGUGUAGCGGUGAAAUGCGUAGAGAUCGGGAGGAAUACCAGUGGCGAAGGCGGCCUUCUGGACUGACACUGACACUGAGGUGCGAAAGCGUGGGUAGCAAACAGGAUUAGAUACCCUAGUAGUC
RNAcentral lists this ribosomal RNA (465 nucleotides) under Vreelandella stevensii. RNAcentral describes it as "partial 16S ribosomal RNA". It matches the Rfam family "Bacterial small subunit ribosomal RNA", at positions 338 to 795 of the family's 1533-position model. Lineage: Bacteria; Pseudomonadati; Pseudomonadota; Gammaproteobacteria; Oceanospirillales; Halomonadaceae. The record is from RNAcentral.